This 206-nucleotide ribosomal RNA is filed under the name uncultured bacterium. Its description in RNAcentral is "partial 16S ribosomal RNA". It matches the Rfam family "Bacterial small subunit ribosomal RNA", at positions 28 to 219 of the family's 1533-position model. The record is from RNAcentral.
GACGAACGCUGGCGGCGUGCUUAACACAUGCAAGUCGAGCGGUAAGGCCCUUUCGGGGGUACGACGAGCGGCGAACGGGUAGGAGUAACAACGUGGGUGGACCUCGCCCUCCAGCUCUGGGAGUAAAGCCCGGGGAAACCGUAGGGUCGUAAUAACCGGAUAUGACUUCAUGACGCAUGUUGUGGAGUGGAAAGCCUUGUGCGGCU